CAGGGAAUCUUCCACAAUGGACGCAAGUCUGAUGGAGCAACGCCGCGUGAGUGAAGAAGGGUUUCGGCUCGUAAAGCUCUGUUGUUAAAGAAGAACGUGGGUAAGAGUAACUGUUUACCCAGUGACGGUAUUUAACCAGAAAGCCACGGCUAACUACGCGCCAG
This 164-nucleotide ribosomal RNA is filed under the name uncultured bacterium. Its description in RNAcentral is "partial 16S rRNA". It matches the Rfam family "Bacterial small subunit ribosomal RNA", at positions 355 to 511 of the family's 1533-position model. The record is from RNAcentral.